Molecule: small nucleolar RNA, 172 nt
Organism: Medicago truncatula (barrel medic)
Lineage: Eukaryota; Viridiplantae; Streptophyta; Magnoliopsida; Fabales; Fabaceae
Rfam family: Small nucleolar RNA Z112
About the family: Z112 is a member of the C/D class of snoRNA which contain the C (UGAUGA) and D (CUGA) box motifs. Most of the members of the box C/D family function in directing site-specific 2'-O-methylation of substrate RNAs.
Source: Rfam
UACCCAGUGAUGAGGAUCUCCCAAUAAUUGAUAGGAAGUGCCGUAUGACACACUAAAAAGCAGCUCCGUUUCAGAGAAUGAUCUGAUCAGCCGAUAUCAUUUGUUGAUAUUGGUCUGAGAUCAUUUCUCUGCGGAGCUGUGUGUGAGAUUUGAAACGGGUCCCCUGAGGGUU